GCUAAAUAAAAACACUAAAAGAGCAGCUUUGAGUUGAUAGGAGCUGUAAAUCAUGAAGAACAAUUUUAAAAAUGUAUAUUUUAAGCAUGUCAUUAAUGCCACCUUCAUUUGCUGAAGUCUUUUUACAGUCCGCUCAGCCUGCAGUCUGCCUUCUUCACUUUCAGUGUUCUGCUGGACCAAAUCAGGACAGCACCUGAGAUCAGCUCUGCUGGCUGCUUUUUGUGCUUAGUUUUGCUUGGAGGUUCUCUGCCAUGAUGUUUGGGUAGAAACAGUGUAGAGACAUGGUUAUUUAUUUCAACCAUCUGUUUCCAUUGGCAUGAAGAUAGCCCAUUGCAGUAUUUCUCUUGUCUUCAGACUCUUUGCACACCUGGCAUGACUGCAGUAGUUAGCAGAUCCAAGUAACAGAUCCUGCUGUUACCAACAGCCCAUGCUUGUUUUGUGCAGAUAUAAAUAAUGACUGUUGUUGAAGGCAAUGCCCUUUUUCUGUUUUCCACUCUGAAUUUUUCUGCUCCCAGCCUGGGAAUAGCAGAGAAAUUACUACCCAGUGGAGUGGACUUCAAACUGGCAUUUCUACAGCAGUUUGUAUUGGCCUCUCUCUUCCAGCAAAAGCUUUUUGUGUUUGGUGCAAGAUAAAUAUGGGCUCUAACUGUCUACGUGUCUGUGUGUUACUGACUUCUCCAAAAAGGCCAACAGAAUUACAGAGUCAGGGCAAAAACCAGCACUGAGCAGCUGCCAUGUUGUUCCCUGCUGGGGCUGCCUGGCUUUUCAGGACAUGUUAUUCCCUAACUAAAACAUCUCCGUUAGUCCUGCUUCCCACCUGGCUGAAAUUGGAUUUCUUUGGGGAUCACCUGAAUGGUGACCACAGGCUUUGGUGAGUGCUGCCUCUUGAAUACGUGUCCUGCUUUCUUUUUCACCCUACAGGAGAUGACAUGAAUGCAGUCCCUGCUACCAAAGCUCACGCAGUCCAGUUCACCACGUGGUGGUAAAUCAGAGGGGUUGGUGUGCUCAAGGUGCAAGAAGUGGAUGGAAAAAAAGGCAACGAGCUCUAACAACACUGUAAUAUGUUUCCCUUGCCAGCCAGCAGCAUGCUUUGAGACAGCACUGUACCACACCACCUGUGUGACUUUGGUGAUAUGCUACAAGAGAAGCGGCUUCAUUUGGACAAGGAAAUGCCAGCACGGCACCCGUGGCAUCGUCACUGCAAGCAGAAAUGUAAGCAAGAGCAAAAAGCUUGGUUUGGGGUAUUGCUGAAGCAGUAGGCAAAUAUGCAGCUGUGAUGUUGAGAUCAGGGUGCCCCUGCUCCUGAACCCACUCACAGUCAGGACUGGCAGAAACCUUUGUGCUUGCAGCUUUGCGUCAUAUCCUCUCUCUCUCUCCCUCUCUCCCCCAGACCAAUGCCGUGUGGCUUUUGCAUUUUUUUAUUCCCUUGUCUGCCUGUUUUUCUCGUAUGUGUGGGCUGAAGAUUUGGUCACGCUGUGUGCCAGCAGACUCACCCACAGGACAGAUAGGAAAGAGCAGGAAGGCAGUGUUGUUCCUGGAAAUGUAGCUCUUGGGCUGCAGUUACGCAUAGGAACUUGAUUUGUGUGCUGAUGUGUUUCUGCAUAUGACAGCAGGCAUCACUCCUAGUCACUACCAGGUCUGGAUGCCACGGUGUGACAGCCCGUUCUCUUGGUUAUCACCACACUUGUGUGCUACCUAGAAAUACAUCGCUCAGCUGCCUUACCUGUGAAAUGCCAGUGGGCUGCUGGAGAGUGCUCUGCUUUGCAGGGGGAGAGCACUGGGCUCCUUCUCCCUGGGCGUGCUUUCUCCCUCCACACCGAGUGAAAGCCAGGGCAGCAACCUGCUCAUCUCCUCGUUCUGCCUUCUGCAGUGGGCAGCAUGUGGCCGGGGCUCCCUCCCCUUGUGACCCACCCUGUGUGCUACCUCCACAUGCUCUGAAACGCUUCUUACGGCGCUGGCAGCGUGUUUGUGAGGUCUGCUGGGACAGUCAGGCUGGCUUUAAGUUGGGCUUGGAGCUGAGCAAAGCUCAGGAACAGAAAGCAUUUUAAAACCAUGUUUCACAGAAGACUUGAUCUGAGCUCCAUUUGCAGCACUUGCAAGGCGGCAUUUUGUCAGCAUUGAACCUCCAGCUGCUCAGUAAUCAUUUCACUCAGCUCAGAUGGAGGGCACAGAGCAGGGGGGGGUGGAUAUUUCCCAAACAUUCCUCUUUUUGGUUACACACCAAUGUCGUGGUGGUUUGCUGACAAGCUGGAGCCCCACCCCAGCGAUUCAGGCUCAGCCUUUGGGAGAAGAGUGAGACCGCUCUGAGGAAAAUGAUUUAAAAUGCCUUCAGAUGCCUUUUCACUUCUUUUAUUUAAUUCCAUAAAUAUUUUCAUAAGGCUCAGUGUCUUUACAACACUUUUUUAAACACUUUUUUUUUUGUUUUAUACACACAACUUUGACACUUGUUUGACAGGGUCAAACAGUCCAAUAUAAACAAAAUAAUAAAACUGGCAAGUGCGGAUCAGCCGGGUUACCAAAAUCCUUUUUUUUNNNNNNNNNNNNNNNNNNNNNNNNNNNNNNNNNNNNNNNNNNNNNNNNNNNNNNNNNNNNNNNNNNNNNNNNNNNNNNNNNNNNNNNNNNNNNNNNNNNNUUUUAAAUUCUCUGCUACAAGUCCCUGUCAUCAUAGUGCCUUUAGACUCCUACAGACUCUUCUUUUCUUCUCAAGGAAAAAUAAGCUCAGUGAUGCCAUGCAGAACUUACAAUAGCUACUAAAUAUACAUGUUCCCUGAAAUGUAGCUGCGAUGAAAAGAUGACAGAGCAUAAAGAGAACAAAACCAGAAACCCAAAGCACCACAGUGUACUAUCAAUAACAUUGCAAUGGAUGGCCAGUGACCAUCCAGAAACUGAAACAAAUUUCAAAUAUAUUUCUCUAUGUAUUAUUUUCUAUUUACAACUGUUAGAUGCACCUAGGUUGAUCCUUGUUUGAUUGUUUUGGAGAGGGUAGGGAGGCGAAAGUCUUGAAUUUAGAUCCUCUGUUCUAGUGUCUAGGUCAAGGGGUAAUGCAUGUCAUUUACCUAGGGAGGAGGGUAUUUUUGUUGGUUGUUUUUUUUUUUCCUAUGUAUAUAUAUAGUUUCAGCCAGAGAAAUACCGUAAACAUGUAAGUUUGUUACAACUCUCUCAUUUCUGCGUAUGGAAUGGUAAGUGGGUUCCUCCUGUCUGGCAUUGAAAUGAAAGUCUGUAUCAGAUGCUCAGUCAAAAUCACCCCGAUCUGACAGCAUCUGUGCUGCUUCCAGCACUUUCAGACACAGCGAGGCAGCCCAGCCCUGCUCCCUAUUGGGAAAGCCACGGUAGGUAGUAAAAGUGGGACCCAGUGCUGGUUCUUCUUUGCGAUAAUGCUCCAUCUCUUGCAGCACCUUGGCAAUUUGUGGAAGGGAAGGGCUUUCUUGAGCGCCAUGUGAGAGCCAAGCCCCUCUUCCCUCUGGAACAAGCGGCUGCGGCUGCUCCGCCUGCCGCCCGGCUUCGGCAAGCGCUAGCGGCGCUCGUUUGUUUUGGCUUUCCACUUAAGAAGGAAGCUGCGAGUCCAACAAGUGGCCUUGUCAGAUCGAGCGAGUCUUGAGUUAUGAUGCAAAUAAUGGUGUGGCGGUGGAGUUUCUUUUUUCCUAGCGCUGAAUAUUUAGGAAGCAUCUUCUCAUAA
Meleagris gallopavo (turkey) is the source of this 3676-nucleotide long non-coding RNA. NCBI's taxonomy places the organism in Eukaryota, Metazoa, Chordata, Aves, Galliformes, Phasianidae. The record is from Ensembl.